ACCAAUUAUCUUAAGUCCUCUUUAUGACUUGGUGAAGUCAGUGAGAAGAUUUAUAACUAGUUGGGUGGACUAGAUUAAGCUUAAUCUUCUUUGAUCUGACUUAGUGAAGUUAGUGGGAGAAUUAAGAAUAGCUAGUCAAAUUUCUUCUCUAAAUUAAUUCUUAAAUUCUUUGAAUUAUUAGAUCCCUAAAAUAAGAUAGU
This 200-nucleotide long non-coding RNA is filed under the name Elaeis guineensis (African oil palm). RNAcentral describes it as "long non-coding RNA (EGUI_LNC066675)". Lineage: Eukaryota; Viridiplantae; Streptophyta; Magnoliopsida; Arecales; Arecaceae. The record is from RNAcentral.